RNAcentral lists this ribosomal RNA (233 nucleotides) under uncultured Actinomycetales bacterium. RNAcentral's name for it is "partial 16S ribosomal RNA". It matches the Rfam family "Bacterial small subunit ribosomal RNA", at positions 96 to 334 of the family's 1533-position model. The record is from RNAcentral. Lineage: Bacteria; Bacillati; Actinomycetota; Actinomycetes; Actinomycetales.
UGGCGAACGGGUGAGUAACACGUGGGUGAUCUGCCCUGCACUUCGGGAUAAGCCUGGGAAACUGGGUCUAAUACCGGAUAGGAGCCAUUUUAGUGUGAUGGUUGGAAAGUUUUUCGGUGUAGGAUGAGCUCGCGGCCUAUCAGCUUGUUGGUGGGGUAAUGGCCUACCAAGGCGGCGACGGGUAGCCGGCCUGAGAGGGUGGACGGCCACAUUGGGACUGAGACACGGUCCAG